AAAUUUAAUUUUUAAUUAUUUUUGAACACUUUUUAGUCUGUUUGUCAAUUUUAAUAGCGAUGUCAAACAGACCAUAAAAUAAUAUUUUUAUUCAGAAGAGCAAUUUCAAAUUCUAAAACUUAAUGCCAAAUUGGCUUAUGUUUGCCGGUAGAAUACAAGCAUAGUUUCGAAACAUUUUAGUUCUUCCCUGAAUUUUUAUUUGGGGUGUAUUGGCAGAUGACAGUGUUAUUUGUUUUCAGUUAGCUAUUUUUCAUUUUUAGUUGGUUCAUUUUUCAGCUGCUACUUUUCAGUUUUAGGUAACUAAUUUUAGUUGGUUAGGCAGUUACCAAAGUCAACAUUGGUGGGCUUUCAGCUGGCAAGUUGUUUUAGUUUUCCCACUUUAUUUGCUUUCUUCUUCCUUCAUUUUAUGUAAGGUUGAACAGUUUUAUGUGAUUGGCAAUGAGAAUUAAUCUCUCUCUCCUGGUAAUUGUUCCUGAUUGCCAAAUUCACUUUGUAUCAGAGCAGGUUUCAAGAAACUGAAUCCUUCAAUUUUUUCUUGUUUCACAAUCAUGAAGAGAAAAAAAAAUUCGGUUUCCAAGUCUUUAGCCGAAGCUGAAUAUAGGAGUAUGGCAGUGCAGCAACUGUAUGUGAGCUCUUUUGGAUUUCUUGCGUGUUAAGAGAUAUGAAGGUCCAAGUGCAGCUACCUGUUCCUUUCAUGUAUGACAACCAGGCAGCCAUUCACAUAGCUAGCAAUCUUGUCUUCCAUGAGACGCCUAAGCAUCUUGAUAUUGAUUGCCAUCUGGUCAGAGAACAAUUGCAGAAAGGGUUGAUUCAGCCUUGUCAUCUUGCUUCUGCUCAGCAAGUCGCUGAUGUCUUUACAAAGCCUCUAGGAUCAUCGUUCUCUUGUUUCCAAGUUGGGUCUGGUGGACCUUCCCCAAACUCCAACUUGAGGGGGAUACUGGCAGAUGACAAGAAUUAUUUAUUUUUAAUUAGCUACAUUUCACUUUGUUAGCUAAUUUUUAGUAACUAAUUUAUUAUCAUUUCUAUUGAUAAUAGAAUUUUUUUUAUUUAAAAUAAAUUUUAAAAUAAUAAAAUUUAUUCUUUAAUUUA
This 1089-nucleotide unclassified non-coding RNA is filed under the name Hevea brasiliensis (rubber tree). The record is from RNAcentral. Lineage: Eukaryota; Viridiplantae; Streptophyta; Magnoliopsida; Malpighiales; Euphorbiaceae.